This 29-nucleotide non-coding RNA is filed under the name Mus musculus (house mouse). The record is from RNAcentral. Lineage: Eukaryota; Metazoa; Chordata; Mammalia; Rodentia; Muridae.
UGGGAUUAUGUAAUUCUUGUUUGCUGCUG